GGUUUGAUUCUGGCUCAGAUUGAACGCUGGCGGGAUGCUUUACACAUGCAAGUCGAACGGCAGCACGGACUUCGGUCUGGUGCGAGUGGCGAACGGGUGAGUAAUGUAUCGGAACGUGCCUAGUAGCGGGGGAUAACUACGCGAAAGCGUAGCUAAUACCGCAUACGGGCCUCUUCGGGGGAAAGCGGGGACCUUCGGGCCUCGCACUAUUAGAGCGGCCGAGUUAUCGGAUUAGCUAGUUGGUGGGGUAAUGGCUCACCAAGGGCGACGAUCCUGUAGCUGGUUUGAGAGAGGAUGACCAGCCACACUGGGACUGGAGAUACGUAGCCCAGACUACGGGAGGCAGCAGUGGGCAAAUUGGACAAUGUGGGGGAAACCCUGAUCCAGCCAUCCGCGGUGUGCGAUGAAGGCCUUCGGGUUGUGGAAGCAUCUUGGCAGGAAAAGAAACGGCACGGCAUAAUACCCCGUGCAACUGGACGGUACCUGCAGAAUAAGCACCGGCUAACUACGUGCCAGCAGCCGCGGUAAUGAUGUAGGGUGCAAGCGUUAACGGAAUUACUGGGCGUAAAGCGUGGCAAGGCGGUUCGGAAAGAAAGACAAAUCCCAGAGCUAACUUUGGAACCGCAUUUUUAACUAUACCUGAGCUAGGAGUGUGUCAGGGAGGGAGGUGGAAUUCGCGUAGUAGUGAAAUGCGCAGAUAUGCGGAGGAACACCGAUGGCGAAGGCAGCCUCCUGGGAUAAAUACUGACGCUCAUGCACGAAAGCGGAGCAAACAGGAUUAGAUACCCUGGUAGUCCACGCCCUAAACGAUGUCAACUAGCUUGCCGGGGCCUUCGGGCCUUGCGGCGCAGCUAACGCGUGAAGUUGACCGCCUGGGGAGUACGGUCGCAAGAUUAAAACUCAAAGGAAUUGACGGGGACCCGCACAAGCGGUGGAUGAUGUGGAUUAAUUCGAUGCAACGCGAAAAACCUUACCUACCCUUGACAUGUCUGGAAUCCCGAAGAGAUUUGGGAGUGCUCGCAAGAGAACCGGAACACAGGUGCUGCAUGGCUGUCGUCAGCUCGUGUCGUGAGAUGUUGGGUAAGUCCCGCAACGAGCAACCCUGUCAUUAGUUACACAAAAGGGCACUCCAAUGAGACUGCCGGUGACAAACCGGAGGAAGGUGGGGAUGACGUCAAGUCCUCAUGGCCCUUAUGGGCAGGGCUUCAAGCACGUCAUACAAUGGUCGGGACAGAGGGUCGCCAACCCGCGAGGGAAGCCAUCCCAGAACCCGAUCGUAGUCCGGAUCGCAGUCUGCAACUCGACUGCGUGAAGUCGGAAUCACAUAGUAAUCGCGGAUCAGCAUGUCGCGGGGUGAAUACGUUCCCGGGUCUUGUACACACCGCCCGUCACACCAUGGGAGUGGGUUUUACCAGAAGUAGUUAGCCUAACCGUAAGGAGGGUUGAUUGUCACGGUAGGAUUCAUGACUGGGGUGAAGUCAGAAUAAGGUAG
Molecule: ribosomal RNA, 1492 nt
Filed under: uncultured Bordetella sp.
Lineage: Bacteria; Pseudomonadati; Pseudomonadota; Betaproteobacteria; Burkholderiales; Alcaligenaceae
Description: partial 16S-23S ribosomal RNA intergenic spacer
Rfam family: Bacterial small subunit ribosomal RNA
Source: RNAcentral